Molecule: ribosomal RNA, 497 nt
Filed under: uncultured bacterium
Lineage: Bacteria
Description: bacterial SSU rRNA
Rfam family: Bacterial small subunit ribosomal RNA
Source: RNAcentral
GAUCCUGGCUCAGGAUGAACGCUAGCUACAGGCUUAACACAUGCAAGUCGAGGGGUUUCAAAGGAGCUUGCUCCUGCGGAACGACCGGCGCACGGGUGAGUAACGCGUAUCCAACCUGCCCUUCAUAUUGGUAUAGCCUCCCGAAAGGGAGAUUAAUCCCGAAUGCCAUAUCAUAGUUGCCUGACGAUGAUAUGAAAGCUCCGGCGAUGAAGGAUGGGGAUGCGUUCCAUUAGGUAGUAGGCGGGGUAACGGCCCACCUAGCCGACGAUGGAUAGGGGUUCUGAGAGGAAGGUCCCCCACACUGGUACUGAGACACGGACCAGACUCCUACGGGAGGCAGCAGUGAGGAAUAUUGGUCAAUGGGCGAGAGCCUGAACCAGCCAAGUCGCGUGAGGGAAGACGGUACUAAGUAUUGUAAACCUCUUUUGUCAGGGAACAAAACCUGCAUGUAUGCAAUAAUGAGUGUACCUGAAGAAAAAGCAUCGGCUAACUCCGUG